RNAcentral lists this transfer RNA (72 nucleotides) under Bos taurus (domestic cattle). It matches the Rfam family "tRNA". From Rfam's summary of the family: Transfer RNA (tRNA) molecules are approximately 80 nucleotides in length. Their secondary structure includes four short double-helical elements and three loops (D, anti-codon, and T loops). RNAcentral also lists the same sequence under 1 other name. Lineage: Eukaryota; Metazoa; Chordata; Mammalia; Artiodactyla; Bovidae. The record is from Rfam by way of RNAcentral.
UCCCUGGUGGUCCAGUGCUUACGACGCGGCACUUUUACUGCUGAGGCCCGGAUUCGAUCCCUGGUCGGGGAA